AACCUGCAAAUUUAACAGUGCAUCUCCAACCAUCAUAUCAAUUAUCAAACAACUCGGAUUAUUUAAGGUAGAAGAUGGAAGCUUUUCAUUUGUUAUUUUCAGCUUAAUUAUGAAACUGAAACUCUGCAUUCUAUGUACAAAGUUUUCUUGAUGUGGUCCAUUUGUUUCAGUAUUUUUAGGUCAUAGGAAUAUAAUGGUGGUGUGCAUUCUCGUUAAUCCAAACACCAGGAGUUAUUCUUCUACUAUUUUAAAAAAAUCAAACGACUCAUAAACCUGAUCAUCACAAACAUAAGAUGAUAUUUAACUUGGCAAAAAUAAAAACUGAAUUAAUAUCAAUUUUCGAUAAGAUAUUUUUCGAAUAUGUUGGGAUACUAAGGAGAAAUUUAGCACCAGUAUUGAUAGAGAAGAAAAUUGUGAGAAAACCUGGGUUUGAGGGGGAUCAAACUCUGGCCAAUGGCAUGCCCCUGGUAGCUCUCUACCAGCCAGGCUACACGUUGUUCUCAUUUUUUGAUAAGAUAUACCUUGUUUAUAACUGCUAAUGAGCAGAUCUCCUCAAAAGUAUCAAAUGAGUCGAAUCUUCGGAUCUCGUCCUUCUCUAGGUAGCCGAGAUGGCAGUCAGUCGCCACCAAUAUGCGCAGCAUGCUAUUUUCUUCUUCAUCCCUGAAGAACAAAACACAUAUAUCAUUGCAAGUAACAAUUUAGAUCAUUGCAAAAGAAUAGUAUUGUAACAAAAGAUAACUUGUUUAAGAAAGGAUAGAAGAAAGGGGAAAAGGAAUUAAUGCCGAUUUUGUGCUGAUGAUGAAACAAUUGAGCACUUAUUUUUAAAGUGACCCUUGGCAAUAUUUAUUUGGAAUUCAUGGUAGCUUGUACCUUUAAUCUGAAACCAGGAAAUUAUAUAGCCCACAUGUGUUGGGACCUGGAUGCAUUAUUUUGAUAAAGAAACACAGAAAAUGAUUAUUGGAGGUGUGGUGUCAAUCAUUUGGUCUAUCUGGAAAACAAGAAAUGCAACAUGUUUGCCCCCAUUCUUUUUAGCUAUUUCACCGAAUUAUUACCACAGAUUAUUUGCUCCACGCCUCUAAAAUACGCUUUCUAAAAAAUAUAUUCUACUAUUUGUAUUGCUUAGACUACUUGCUUUAAGAUUUUUGUUAACUUUAUUUAUCAAAAUAUUCAAUUUAUCCCUAUAAGCAAGUAGAUAAUCCACUGCCAUAAUUCAUUCAAUGCAUGAUUUGUUUCAAACGGGCACGAAAUGAACUACCAAAUGUUCCAAUUGAACUAAUACACUACACUUGUUUCUAGCUAGAUUUCAUCUUGGUCAAAAGGAGGAGGAAAAGCAAAGAAAGGUGCAAAUGCAGGACGCAACUAUUAAAGCGGGUGGCUUGUGAAGUACAUGGAUCAAUGUAUGGUUGAGGGCUUAAUGCAAGACAACUGCAGGAAACCCUAGCUGCACUGUUUGGAAGCUUCUUGUUGGAAAGUUGAAAUGCAGCUCAUUUUGAGCUUCUCAUGUGUGCAUAAAAACUCCUUUGAUGUAAUGAUGUAGUGUGGUAAUUUUGAAGGAUCUUUGGCUUAAUUAGACUUUGCUAGGUAUGCAGAAUGGUGGAUUUGACUCUCACGCUGAAUGGUGGGAUUUAUGGUACCAAGUUACCAUGACAAAUUUAAUUGUCUUCGCAAACUUUUGUCUUUUAACCUUCAUUUCUAGUGACAGAAAUGUGAGAAGUGUGCCUCUCUUCCUAAAAAAAAGAUCAUUGCAACUCAAUUCAUGCAGGAGUAACUUCUAAUGAAAGGAGUUAAUUGAAGUACAUGUUCAAAC
Molecule: long non-coding RNA, 1807 nt
Filed under: Oryza sativa (Asian cultivated rice)
Lineage: Eukaryota; Viridiplantae; Streptophyta; Magnoliopsida; Poales; Poaceae
Description: long non-coding RNA (OSAT_LNC001459)
Source: RNAcentral